GACGAACGCUGGCGGCGUGCCUAAUACAUGCAAGUAGAACGCUGAAGGAAGGAGCUUGCUCUUUCUGGAUGAGUUGCGAACGGGUGAGUAACGCGUAGGUAACCUGCCUGGUAGCGGGGGAUCACUAUUGGAAACGAUAGCUAAUACCGCAUAAAAUUGAUUAUUGCAUGAUAGUCAAUUAAAAGGUGCAACUGCACCACUACCAGAUGGACCUGCGUUGUAUUAGCUAGUUGGUGGGGUAACGGCUCACCAAGGCGACGAUACAUAGCCGACCUGAGAGGGUGAUCGGCCACACUGGGACUGAGACACGGCCCAGACUCCUACGGGAGGCAGCAGUAGGGAAUCUUCGGCAAUGGACGGAAGUCUGACCGAGCAACGCCGCGGGAGUGAAGAAGGUUUUCGGAUCGUAAAGCUCUGUUGUAAGGGAAGAACGAGUGUGAGAGUGGAAAGUUCACACUGUGACGGUAUCUUACCAGAAAGGGACGGCUAACUACGUG
Molecule: ribosomal RNA, 497 nt
Filed under: uncultured bacterium
Lineage: Bacteria
Description: partial 16S ribosomal RNA
Rfam family: Bacterial small subunit ribosomal RNA
Source: RNAcentral